UACGAAGGAUGCAAGCGUUAUCCGGAUUUAUUGGGCGUAAAGCGUCCGCAGGUGGCUCUGUAAGUCUGUCGUUAAAGAAUGCGGCUCAACCGCAUACAGGCAAUGGAAACUACAAGUCUUGAGUUUGGUAGGGGUCAGCGGAAUUCUUAGUGUAGCGGUGAAAUGCUUAGAUAUUAAAAAGAACACCAGCGGCGAAGGCGCGUGACUGGGGCAGUACUGACGCUGAUGCACGAAAGCUAGGGGAGCGAAAAGG
Molecule: ribosomal RNA, 253 nt
Filed under: uncultured bacterium
Lineage: Bacteria
Description: partial 16S ribosomal RNA
Rfam family: Bacterial small subunit ribosomal RNA
Source: RNAcentral